This 253-nucleotide ribosomal RNA is filed under the name uncultured bacterium. RNAcentral's name for it is "partial 16S ribosomal RNA". It matches the Rfam family "Bacterial small subunit ribosomal RNA", at positions 524 to 776 of the family's 1533-position model. The record is from RNAcentral.
GACAGAGGAUGCAAGCGUUAUCCGGAAUGAUUGGGCGUAAAGCGUCUGUAGGUGGCUUUUCAAGUCCGCCGUCAAAUCCCAGGGCUCAACCCUGGACAGGCGGUGGAAACUACCAAGCUGGAGUACGGUAGGGGCAGAGGGAAUUUCCGGUGGAGCGGUGAAAUUCGUAGAUAUUGGGAAGAACACCGGUGGCGAAGGCGGCUCUCUGGACCGAGACUGACGCUGAGGCGCGAAAGCGUGGGGAGCAAACAGG